AAGUCGUAACAAGGUUUCCGUAGGUGAACCUGCGGAAGGAUCAUUACCGAAGUAUAGGCCCUUUAUAGGGCUAAACUUCCACCCUUUGUUUACUAUUCUUUGUUGCUUUGGCGAGACGUCUUCGGACCACCGGCUCUUGGGCUGGUGAGCGCUCGCCAGAGGAAAAUCAAACCCAAACCUUUUUUAGUGUUGUCUGAGAAACAAGUUUAAUUAUUAAAACUUUCAACAACGGAUCUCUUGGCUCUG
RNAcentral lists this unclassified non-coding RNA (246 nucleotides) under Tricellula proliferata. RNAcentral's name for it is "Articulospora proliferata partial internal transcribed spacer region". The stretch from base 1 to 46 matches the Rfam family "Eukaryotic small subunit ribosomal RNA", at positions 1786 to 1831 of the family's 1831-position model. The record is from RNAcentral. Lineage: Eukaryota; Fungi; Ascomycota; Leotiomycetes; Helotiales; Calloriaceae.